This 74-nucleotide transfer RNA is filed under the name Verrucomicrobiales bacterium. RNAcentral describes it as "tRNA-Gly". It matches the Rfam family "tRNA". From Rfam's summary of the family: Transfer RNA (tRNA) molecules are approximately 80 nucleotides in length. Their secondary structure includes four short double-helical elements and three loops (D, anti-codon, and T loops). Lineage: Bacteria; Pseudomonadati; Verrucomicrobiota; Verrucomicrobiia; Verrucomicrobiales. The record is from RNAcentral.
GCGGCAUUGAUGUAGCAGCAGCAUGCCUGUCUUCCAAGCAGAGCGCGCCGGUGCGAAUCCGGCAUGCCGCACCA